Molecule: unclassified non-coding RNA, 369 nt
Filed under: Commiphora anacardiifolia
Lineage: Eukaryota; Viridiplantae; Streptophyta; Magnoliopsida; Sapindales; Burseraceae
Description: partial external transcribed spacer
Source: RNAcentral
UUCGGUAUCCUGUGUUGCUUACCUAUCAAAAGGAGCCAGACGGUCUCAUUUGUCCCUCUCCACCCUUGGCCCUCGCGGGUUGUGGGGUGGACAUUAGGCACGUCUCGUGUUCCCAGCAAGCCUUGCCUAGUCGCUCGGCUGCCUUGACCCGUGGUGUGCUCUGCCCGUUCUCUCGGACGCUGAACAUUACGCGCAGGCAUGGGGUCUUUCAGCUCCAUCUACCCAAGCAAAGCAUCUGUCCAUCAACUUGAACAAUUAUUGUGCUUGUAUUGAACCCACAAGCUCACGGUUCGUUGGGUGUCAUGCAGGCGUCGGCAUCGCAAAGGAAUGCUACCUGGUUGAUCCUGCCAGUAGUCAUAUGCUUGUCUC